UUUCCGUAGGUGAACCUGCGGAAGGAUCAUUCAUAAUAAGUGUUUUGUGGCACUUUUUUAAAUCCAUAUCCACCUUGUGUGCAAUGUCAGGGUUGAUUUUUCUCUCGAGAGGAUCAACCCCAAACAUCAACUAUAUCUCAACUCUUUGUCUGAAAAAUAUUAUGAAUAAAACAAUUCAAAAUACAACUUUCAACAACGGAUCUCUUGGCUCUC
RNAcentral lists this unclassified non-coding RNA (213 nucleotides) under plant metagenome. RNAcentral's name for it is "partial contains small subunit ribosomal RNA, internal transcribed spacer 1, and 5.8S ribosomal RNA". The record is from RNAcentral.